Molecule: long non-coding RNA, 323 nt
Organism: Microplitis demolitor
Lineage: Eukaryota; Metazoa; Arthropoda; Insecta; Hymenoptera; Braconidae
Exons: 3
Source: RefSeq, a predicted model, not a curated record
GUGCAAUUAAAUCCUUGGACAAUCAUAUAAAUACCUCGUUUGCAAUGAAUUUUCAUUAUAAACAUUUCUGACAUAUCAAGUUCCCCAGUACAUUAGCAAUUAAAUAGCAAAAAUGAUUAGAAUCUUGUUUGCUCUUCUCUUAAUUGGAAUCUUAGCCAUCGCUGCAAUAGAAGCAAGUUGUCGUCAACCACCACAACCUUAUUGCCAAUGUGGUUGUCCAUAUAACCAGUAUGGGUGUUGUCCCUGCUGUGGUUAUUGUCAACAAUGAUGUUCUAAAGUUAUGCAAAUUUUUAAACUAAUAAUAGUUCUUUACAACUAACAAU